GCAGCCGCGGUAAUACGGAGGGUGCGAGCGUUGUCCGGAAUCACUGGGCGUAAAGGGCGCGUAGGUGGCAGCGUAAGCGUGUGGUGAAAGCUCGGGGCUCAACCCUGAGUCGGCCAUGCGAACUGCGUUGCUUGAGCACUGUAGAGGCAGACGGAAUUCCGGGUGUAGCGGUGGAAUGCGUAGAGAUCCGGAAGAACACCGGUGGCGAAGGCGGUCUGCUGGGCAGUUGCUGACACUGAGGCGCGACAGCGUGGGGAGCAAACAGG
This 266-nucleotide ribosomal RNA is filed under the name uncultured bacterium. Its description in RNAcentral is "partial 16S ribosomal RNA". It matches the Rfam family "Bacterial small subunit ribosomal RNA", at positions 511 to 776 of the family's 1533-position model. The record is from RNAcentral.